This 254-nucleotide ribosomal RNA is filed under the name uncultured bacterium. Its description in RNAcentral is "partial 16S ribosomal RNA". It matches the Rfam family "Bacterial small subunit ribosomal RNA", at positions 524 to 776 of the family's 1533-position model. The record is from RNAcentral.
UACGGGGGGGGCAAGCGUUGUUCGGAAUUACUGGGCGUAAAGGGCUCGUAGGCGGCCAACUAAGUCAGACGUGAAAUCCCUCGGCUUAACCGGGGAACUGCGUCUGAUACUGGAUGGCUUGAGUUUGGGAGAGGGAUGCGGAAUUCCAGGUGUAGCGGUGAAAUGCGUAGAUAUCUGGAGGAACACCGGUGGCGAAGGCGGCAUCCUGGACCACGACUGACGCUGAGUGAGCGAAAGCCAGGGGAGCAAACGGG